RNAcentral lists this signal recognition particle RNA (297 nucleotides) under Cebus imitator (Panamanian white-faced capuchin). Its description in RNAcentral is "Metazoan signal recognition particle RNA (ENSCCAG00000013550.1)". It matches the Rfam family "Metazoan signal recognition particle RNA". From Rfam's summary of the family: The signal recognition particle (SRP) is a universally conserved ribonucleoprotein. It is involved in the co-translational targeting of proteins to membranes. The eukaryotic SRP consists of a 300-nucleotide 7S RNA and six proteins: SRPs 72, 68, 54, 19, 14, and 9. The record is from RNAcentral. Lineage: Eukaryota; Metazoa; Chordata; Mammalia; Primates; Cebidae.
GCCAGGCGCGGUGGCACAUGCCUGUAGUCCCAGCUACUCGGGAGGCUGAGGUGGGAGGAUCGCUUGAGUCCAGAAGUCCUGGGCUGUAGUGUGCUAUGUCAUCAGGUGUCCACACUAAGUUCGGCAUCAAUAUGGUGACCUCCCAGGAGCAGGGAACCACCAGGUUGCCUAAGGAGGGGUGAACCGGCCCAGGUAAGAAACGGAGCAGGUGAAAACUCCUGUGCUGAUCAGUAGUGGGAUCGCGCCUGUGAAUAGCCACUGCACUGCAGCCUGGACAAUAUAGGAGACCCGGUCUCU